RNAcentral lists this ribosomal RNA (253 nucleotides) under uncultured bacterium. Its description in RNAcentral is "partial 16S ribosomal RNA". It matches the Rfam family "Bacterial small subunit ribosomal RNA", at positions 524 to 776 of the family's 1533-position model. The record is from RNAcentral.
UACAGAGACUGCAAGCGUUAUUCGGAUUCACUGGGCGUAAAGGGUGCGCAGGCGGCCAAGUGUGUCAGGUGUGAAAUCCCGAGGCUUAACCUCGGAACUGCGCCUGAAACUACUUGGCUAGAGUACUGGAGAGGGUAACGGAAUUCACGGUGUAGCAGUGAAAUGCGUAGAUAUCGUGAGGAACACCAGAGGCGAAGGCGGUUACCUGGACAGUUACUGACGCUCAGGCACGAAAGCGUGGGGAGCAAACAGG